Molecule: long non-coding RNA, 651 nt
Organism: Astyanax mexicanus (Mexican tetra)
Lineage: Eukaryota; Metazoa; Chordata; Actinopteri; Characiformes; Acestrorhamphidae
Exons: 2
Source: RefSeq, a predicted model, not a curated record
GUACCUGUGGUUUUCAGACAAGCCAAAUUUGGCAGGAUAACCGCGAACCUGGCAACUCUGGGGAAAAGCGUUCUGUGAUUGGACUGCAAGAGCAGAAGAUUUAGACAAACAAGUAUCAGCAGUUACAGCGCGAUAGGGCGGGACUAUGCUUUGGAUGAUGUUCGGAGAAAAGACGCUAAAAUUGGCUCUCAGAUUGAAUGAACUGAAUGAAAUAUACAGGUUAUGGUUUGCGCUCGUUGCUUGGACGGAGGGACCAAUGCAGUGAGCACUGUGUCAACCAGCUGGAUAACUGACUCUGACCCAACAGAAACCUCCCCGCAGUCCUUCUAAAGUUAUCUGGCAAGGUGAAACUGGGGAAGGAAGGCACCAUCACUGUCUUAGCCCAUUGUUGGAAGACUGCAAAAGCACAAGCUACAGCCAGUGGGACGGCACGAGUGCUACUGAUGGAACUCUUUAAUGUUGAUGUUUUUCUGAACUUUAAGCAUACCUUUAUCUGUUUUUGUAUUAUACAUAUGGUAGUAUAUGGUAGUAUAUAUUCUUGAAUUUAUAGUGAAGUGUAUUGUUAAAUAUAUAAUAAAAUAAAUUGUGAUAUGUGUGGUAAUAGAUGGUAUGUGUAUUAUUGAUAGUAAUAUAUUAAAAUAUAUUCUUGAA